GAAUGCGAUCAUACCAGCACUAUGGCACCGGAUCCCAUCAGAACUCCGAAGUGAAGGCGUGCUUGGCAGAGAGUAGUACUAGGAUGGUGACCCCUGGGAAGUCCUCGUGUUGCAUCCC
RNAcentral lists this ribosomal RNA (118 nucleotides) under Ipomoea nil (Japanese morning glory). Lineage: Eukaryota; Viridiplantae; Streptophyta; Magnoliopsida; Solanales; Convolvulaceae. The record is from RNAcentral.